CAGCCUUUAUCAUUGCCCUUUCUGCAGGACAUUUAAGCCAACCAGACUGGACAAAUUAAAAUUGCAUCUGCAGAGCCAUUCCAGCAAGGCAGUUGUCUAUGAUAGUAUGGGUAUCUUGAGUUGUUUUAUUAAUGUGUUGUAGUAUAGUUAAGUACUUUACUAAUGUAAUGAUUUAUUUGUUGAUGGUAAGGCAAAUCAUGUUUUGCUAUAAAUAAACUAAUGCUUGCCUUCCAAUUUAAUGUAUUGACAGUAUCAGUUUGUUUCUUCUGGGAUCCCUAAACAAUGGCAUUGCUAUCUUUCAUCUUUCAAACUCAUUUUGCCCCAUUUUAAUUAUGAUUUGACUUUUUCUUAAAUUUUGCUGGGUUUUUUUUGUAUGCUCUACACGUUGUGUUGGGAGCCCCCUUUGACUUUACAUCUCAUGACUUUCCAAAAAUCAAGAGAUGGUGGGCACUAAUUCUUUUGGAGAACUUUGGAGUUGUCCCAGAAAAGACAGAAGACACUAGAGCUACAUGAAGAACAAGCUACACCCAGCAGCAGUAAGGAGCUCACUAUAAUCAAACACAUGAAACUGGCUGUAAAAUGGAUACACGCCAAUAGACAUGUGUUCAGGGGCCCUGUGGAAGAGCCUCUUUUCCUCAGAAUGGAAGAGGAUGACAAGGAAAAGGCCCUCCAAAUCUCAUCAAAGAUGUGGAAGACUGCAGAGACCCAUUCACAUUUAAUUUUUCAUUCAGGGAAGACAUGGAGAUUUUUUUAGUUGAAUGCCAUGAAAAAAUGGGAUUAAAAUUGAAUUCUUCUUUUGAAGAGUGAAAAUUAUAAGAC
Long non-coding RNA from Sinocyclocheilus grahami, 819 nucleotides. RefSeq lists it as uncharacterized. NCBI's taxonomy places the organism in Eukaryota, Metazoa, Chordata, Actinopteri, Cypriniformes, Cyprinidae. The transcript has 4 exons. The record is from RefSeq and is a predicted model, not a curated record.